Molecule: long non-coding RNA, 687 nt
Organism: Bos taurus (domestic cattle)
Lineage: Eukaryota; Metazoa; Chordata; Mammalia; Artiodactyla; Bovidae
Source: Ensembl
GGAUACAUGUUGAUGAGGCGCCUGGGUCUGUGAGAAAGCUUCAGGCCAGGAAAGCAGCAGGAAGACGGUAGGGUAGGGUAGAGGACCCUGGGCUGAGCCUCUGGACCUCUCAGAGUGGCCCCAGUGCACCCAGGACACGCCCCUCCCCACCCACUGACCACCCACCAGCUGACCGCCCCUGGGGCACUGUCUUCCGCUCAAGUGGGAUGAAGCACGCCCUGCUGCCCUCUCCGUCUGCUGGACCUGACAACCGCUCCCCCUCAGCACAUCAUUCCAGCUCCCCCCAACCCCGAUGAUGUGGAUUCACACUGAUGUGUGGGAAGCCUGAACCUGAGGAUGAGCCGACCCAACACCACAAUCGAGGGGUUUAAGCAACAGAGAUGGACUGUCUCCAGGAUCUGGGGAUUGCAAGUUGGAUUCGAGUUGCGGGCAGGUUUGGUUCCCUCCAAGGACUGGGAACGAAGGAUCUGCUCCGGGCUCUCUCCUUGCCUUAGAAACGGCCAUCUUCUCCCUUCACGCGCUUUUCCUGCUAUGCGUGUCAAUAUACAGAUUUCCCUGUUUUAUAAGGACACCAGUCACGUUGGAGUAGGGUCCACCCUAAGGACCUCAUUUUACCUGAUUCCCUCUGUCAUCUCCAAAUAAGGUCACAUUCUGACUCCUGGGGAUGCCAACAACCCACCCCACAGC